Molecule: ribosomal RNA, 255 nt
Filed under: uncultured bacterium
Lineage: Bacteria
Description: partial 16S ribosomal RNA
Rfam family: Bacterial small subunit ribosomal RNA
Source: RNAcentral
UACGUAGGUGGCAAGCGUUGUCCGGAUUUAUUGGGCGUAAAGCGAGCGCAGGCGGUUUCUUAAGUCUGAUGUGAAAGCCCCCGGCUCAACCGGGGAGGGUCAUUGGAAACUGGGAGACUUGAGUGCAGAAGAGGAGAGUGGAAUUCCAUGUGUAGCGGUGAAAUGCGUAGAUAAUAUGGAGGAACACCAGUGGCGAAGGCGGCUCUCUGGUCUGUAACUGACGCUGAGGAGCGAAAAGCGUGGGGAGCGAACAGG